AGAGGCGGAGAGGAACCAAAGAGGCGAGGUCCGGGAGACCGAAACAGGGCGGUUUCCACAGAGACCCCAGACGCAGUCUUGGCUCCACCCUCACCGCGGCCCAGGGCUAAUACUGGACUUCUUUCCUUAUCGCUGUAGAAAAAACUAGUUAAGCCUGCUAGAUUCUGACCGAUUUCACUCUGACAUUGGAAAGGGUCCCACAAAGAAUUAGGUUCCACCGUUAUAGGUGCUAGCUUACAGCAGCGGUUCUCAGACUUUUGGCCUUAGGACUUAUUUACAAAACUCUUAAAAACAGUUGAGGAGCACAAAGACCAUUUGCUUUUUGUGGGUUUUCUCUCACUUUUAAUUUUUUUUUAUUUCAAUAGUUUUGGGUGUACAGGCGGGUUUUGGUUACAUGGAUGAGCUCUUGAGUGGCGAAUUCCGAGAUUUUAGUGUACCCGUCAUCCACCAGUGUACACUGUACCCAAUAUGUAGUAUUUUAUCCCUCACCCCGCUCCCAAUCUCCUGCCUACCUGGAGUUCCCAGAAUCCAUUCUAUCACUCUGUAUGUCUUUGCAUCUUCAUAACUGAACAUGCAGUAUUUGGUUUUCUAUUCCUAAGUUACUUCACUUAGAAUAAUGGCCUCCAGCUCCAUCCAAGUGCUGCCAAAAGAUAUUAUUUCGUUCCUUUUUAUGGCUGAGUAGUAUUCAAUGGUGUAUAUAUACUACAUUUUCUUUAUCCACUCGUUAGUCAAUGGGCACUUAGGUUGGUCCCUUAUCUUUGCAAUUGCGACUUAUGCUGCUAUAAACAUGCGUGUAUAUGUGUCUUUUUCCUUUGGGUAGAUACCCAGUAGUGGGAUUGCUGGAUUGAAUGGUAGCUCCACCUUUAUUUAUUUAUUUAAGGAAACUUUAUACUGUUUUCCAUAGUGGUGGUAUUAAUUUACAUCCCCCAAGCAGUGCAAAAGUGUUCCCUUUUCACCAUAUCGACGCCAACAUAUAUUUUCUAAAAAAAAAUUUUUUUUUUUAAGACAGUCUUGCUCUUGUCCCCCAGGCUGGAGUGCAAUGGCACUAUCUCGGCUCACUGCAACCUCCGGCUCCCGGGUUCAAGUGAUUCUCCUGCCUCAGCCUCCCGAGUAGCUGGGAUUACAGGUGCCCGCCACCACGCCUGGCUGAUUUUUGUAUUUUUAGUAGAAACAGGGUUUUGCCAUGUUGGCCAGGCUGGUCUUGAACUCCUGACCUCGUGAUCCGCCUGCCUCAUGGCCAUUAUUGCAGGAGUAAGGUGGUAUCUCACUGUGGUUUUAAUUUGCAUUUCCCUGGUGAUUUAGUGAUGUUGAGCAUCUUUUCAUAUUUGUUGGCUAUUUGUAUAUCUUCUUUUGAAAAAUGUCCUUUGCCCACUUUUUGAUGGGAUUGUUUUUUUCUAGCUGAUUUGUUUGAGUUCCUUGUAGAUUCUAGGUACAAGUCCUUUAUCAGAUGCACAGUUUGAAAAUAUUUUCUUUUACUCUAUGGGCUGUUUACUGAUUAUUUCUUUUGCUGUGCAGAAGCUUUUUAGUUUAUUUAGGUCCCAUUUAUUUAUUUUUGUUUUUGUUGCAUUUGGCUAAUGUCCAAAAGAGUUUUUCCAAUGUUAUCUUCUAAAAUUUGUGUGGUUUCAGGUCUUAGAUUUAAGUCUUUGAUUCAUCUUGAGUUGAUUUUUGUAUAAGGUGAGAGAUGGGAAUCCAGUUUCAUUCUUCUACCUGUGGCUAAACUAGUUUUCCCAGCACCAUUUAUUGAAUAGGGCGCCCUUUUCCCAAUUUAUGUUUUUGUAUGCUUUGUUGAAGAUCAGUUGACUGUAAGUACUUGGCUUUAUUUCUGGGUUCUCUAUUCUGUUCCAUUGGCCUAUGUGUCUUUAUUUAUUUAUUUAUUUUUAUUUUUAUUUUUUUUUACCAGUACCAUGCUGUUUUGGUAACUUGCCUUGCAGUAUAAUUUGAAGUGUGGUAACGUGAUGCCUCCAGAUUUGUUCUUUUUGCUUAUUAUUGCUUUGGCUAUUCAGGCUGUCUUUUGGUUCCAUAUGAAUUUUAGAUUUUUUUUUUUAGUUCUGUGAAAAGUAGUAAUGAUAUUUUGAUGGGAAUUGCACUGAAUCUGUAGAUUGCUUUGGAAAGUAUAAAGACCAUUUGUUUAUAUGAGUUACCUAUUGAUUUUUACCAUAUUAGACAUUAGAACUGAAAACAAUUAGUGUUUUUUUAAAACCUAUGACAAAUAUCUUAAUGAAAAAAAAUAUUUUCCAAAAUAAAAAAAUAAAAUGAAACAACUGGUA
This 2267-nucleotide long non-coding RNA is filed under the name Pan troglodytes (chimpanzee). RNAcentral describes it as "lincRNA". The record is from RNAcentral. Lineage: Eukaryota; Metazoa; Chordata; Mammalia; Primates; Hominidae.